CAUUCUAAUGAUGCACAGGUCCCUCCUACUCAAUGGCAGGCAAGGCCUGAGGAUACAUCAAAGAACUCUCCUGCCAAUGCCACAGGGCCAAUGUCAGGUUCAGGGUUACACAGAAAAGUAACCUGUAAACUAUAAAAGAGAUCUAGAGACACAGGGACAUUCCUCUUUCCUUUGUUUCCUCAGUAUCAAGCCAACACCUGAGAGAUCAAAGAGCUCGGAUCCCAGGGGCAGACUGAGCCCUCAGAGGGCCCAGUGUGCCUACAUCAAAAAGCACCUUCAGGAAAAUGAGUAAAGACUCUCUUACUUUCCAAAAGGCUCUCAAAUUGUUUCUAAGGAGCUGACUUAACCCUCUGCAAAUGGUGGAUUCAGCCAAUCUACCUUUUAUACCAGAUCUCUCCCAGUCUUAGUCCCUCAAUCUAUGUACAGGGUAGUACUAUUUGAAUACUCUACAGACAUCUUCAAAUCAGCAUGUUCAAAAUUAAAUUCACUUCCCUCUACUCAUAAAAUUUUAAUUACCACUAAAUAUACACAUCUGUACUUCUUCCAGACUCUAACCUCCUUCAGCACAGUGAUCAGAUCUUAUAUAUCUUGUUUCCCCAAUGGAAAGACAGCAAAUGAUCCAUUAGUGUUUAGCUGCACUAAAAUAAAGAGUUCCACAUUAGCUAUGAUAAUGCUAGCUGCUCUAACAAAUGCCAAAACCUCAGAGACUUAAUAGUACUUUACUUUGUGUGUACUAGAGACCCCAAUAGAGACGUUCCUGACUAGCAGACAGCCUCGUGCCUGCUCAUUUGGGACCCAGGAUAAUUCUAUUUUGCAGCACUGCCCUCCUCUUGGUUCUUCAGGUCUCCUCAUUCAGCACACAGAUGGUACAUGUGGGAAAGAGAGGGAGAUUAAUUGAUUGGGAAAGUCCCUCUUUAUAUCACUGGCACAACCAUUAAUAACAUGCUUUUUCACUCUCAAAAGCAUCCAAAUUUGAAGGAUAAAUUGUGUUGCUACUUGCUUAUAGAUUAUCUAUGAGCCCAUCAUAAAAUUUCAAAAGCUGACAUUUUUUCGCCAUCUGAGGACCCAUCUGAGGGUAAACACUGUACCAUAAAGAAGAAAAGGUCACAAGGGGCAUAUUCCUGUACCUGACCACUGUCUACCUUCCUGUGCAGUCAGAGAUAUUCUUCGACCUUAAAGUUCACUUCAGAGAAAUCCUGGCCUUCCAGGAUACACCUCCUCAGUGCUGUGCCUUCUCAACAUGAAGAACCAAUGUCUGACACUGAAAAGCCAAGUCUUGCAUUCCAGGCAUCGCUGAAUCUGCUUUCCAAGAAAGGGCUGAUGCCUUCCAAAGAACCAGUUCUCCUUUCCAAAAACAAACAAAAAAUAUCUACAAUCUGGUCACAAAUCCUUUCGUUCCAGUAUUAAAAACAUGCCCAAUUAGGAAAUUAAGAUGCUUUCUCCCGAAAGUGAAUUGCCACCCAACUUUAAAAAUGAAGGCCCUUAAUUCUGAAAUUAUAAUUAUAUAGACAUGAACCAGCCUGACACUGACUUUGCUAAUACUCCUACUUCAUAAUACAGUAAACAAAGGUGCAAAGGACAAUGUUUAAGAUUUAAGCAAAGAGUUUUUCAAGAUCCUAAGAGAAUUUCACAAGAUAGAAGCUAAAAGAAGGAAAUAACCUAAUAAUUUAGUUGUAACAACUAAAUUACACAGGAAUCUCUCUGAGAAAUAGUCCAACUUCACCAAUUCAGGCUGAUUUGCCAUGUCCAUUAGUCAGGAUAAGAGAGGCUUUGCCAAAUGUAGAAGAUUUCCCCAUCUAACACCUUCUCCAGUUGAGCCUCUGAAGAAGAUACUAAGAGAAAUACCUGAUCAAAUGCUUAAGCAUUAACCACGUGCAAGAAAGCCAUUAAAUGAAUGAACCUUCUGUGAAUUAAAUUGAUUUUCUAGAAAAUGAAAACAAAAUUGAAUCCAAGAGCAAACUAUCUUAAAAUCACAUUAGACGAGUAAAAACAUAAAAUAUUUUUUCACCAGGACUGUAAAAAUUAAAUCAGCUUAAAGAGGAAAUAAAUGCUUUUGUGUUCCAACCAGUUCCAUUUAUUAGGACAAUAGGUACCUACGAAGGAACCAAAACUCUGAAAAGAAGUGUAAUUGUUUCUAAAGAUGAUGCUUUGUGCAGUGAAAGGAAAGUCAUCUUUUCUCUAAGUAACUUACUAAGAAGCAGAGAAUCAUACUCAGUGUCUGCUCACAGUUGGAGAGGGGAAGAAGAGGUAACCAGAAAUUCAGGGAAAUCCACAUUUGACCCCCAAACUGGCCCCCUGCCAAGGAGAGGGUAGGCUGGCUGGCUGCUCCCCACCCUCACCUCUGUUUCAUCCAUCCACAGCUAUCGCCAAUCUUUCCUCGGGUUCUGUUGCUUCUGUGCAUUUCUGCUUCUCAUUGUGCUCUUCUGAACUCAGCAGCCUUGGUCAGUGGACUGAGUCACACCAUGCAUGAUGUCUAGAGGAAAAUUUCUGUUGUGCCCACAUCCUUGUUUUAUUAGCCAGGUAAGUACACUGGCUGCUAUAACAAACAGGCUUAGAUUUCAGAACCAGACAUAAUUUCAAAAGUCCAGAUCCCUCUUUUUUGGGCUCUUUCUAUCCUCAGAUUCUACCAUCUUCCAACCAACUGGAUGGGAGCAAAAAGUAGGCUGAUGGAAAUCUGUGCACAACUCAGUUACAUGAUUCCUCUAGAUGCGUUGAGAGCUGAGAAUUGCAGCUUUCUUUGUACUUAUUAAAGAGGCAAACUGGACACUGGUAAAUUCCAGCAAUUUCUACCACCCUGGAUCUGCCAUUCAGAAUGCACUUGCUAAUCUAUUUUGCACAUCAGAUACUCUGUUGUGGACUAGGGCAGUGGUAUGUUGCACUUAAGUAAUCACAACCUAGGAGGAGUGAAAAUGGGCACCUUAAUAAUUGCAUUUAUCUUAACAUAAUAAAUGUUAUAAUAGAGGCAUUAGCAGAGGGCUGAAGGAACCCCAAAAAGCAGCACAAUCAGAAAAGCUUUAGGGACUUUUGAACUGCAUCUUGAAGGAGGGUGACAACAGCCAAUGUUCUUUAAUCAUUUUCCACUCAUCCAGCAUGGUUCUAAGUGCUUUUCACGUGCUAACUCACUUAAUCGUCACUACUCUAAGAGCUGGGUAGUAUUUUUAUACCUACACACGAGAAACUGAAGCACAGAGAGGCCGAGUCACUUGCUGAAGGUCUCACUGUUCACUAGUCAUAGAGGACCCAGGCCAUCCAGCUCCUGAAAUGACUCAAUCAGCAGUUAGGAGUCCACCAGGGGAAAGGACAAGGUCCUCUCUUGCUGACAGAGACCCUGUAUCUGCCUUCCCUAAAGUACAUCAGGAGAACAUUGGGAGGUCUGGAGAAACACAUGCUGAUAAGGUCUCACUACAUCCUCACUGCCCACACCAAGAAGUUAUGGGUGUCACCGACAAAGCGAGAGUCUGGAACCAAGAUUACAAUCACUGCAUGGCUGGGAGGAUGACAGGACAAAAGGGAAAUGGGCCAGACUGAAGUAAGGAACCCAGACCUAAACAGCACACCAUCCAGCUAGGCCAGGCCAGUAGCCAAGGAAGGUAUCAGAAGGCAGUGAUCCAGCUGAUACAAAGUCGUUAAGACCUCAUUAGGUUCAACACAUAUCCAUCCAAGUUGAAGUUGACCCACAGUCAGAAGCUGGAGGUCGGGAAUGGUGCCAUCUCCCUGUGUGCAGGUGAUCCCAGGGCUGUCACUGUUGCAGUGAAGAAGGUGGUAGCCCAUACUUGAUUCUCUAGUAGGAGUUCUGCAUCCCCUGCUGAAUGUUUGUAACAUCAGAGUCUGGCCAUUGCAUGGAUUCCACUCUGACCACAUGCACAGCCUCCUGUGAGUAGCAGAGGCACGCAAUGUCCACCCACACUGUUUUCCUCUCCUUUCUGGAUACACAGGUCUACACUCCCCAGUUCCCUCACAGUUAGGUAGGGCCUCAUGACCAGGCAUGGCCAGUGAAACAUGUGCAGAAGUGAUCCAUUUCUUCUGGGCCACUGCAUAAAAAAUUUGUCUCUAGUCCUUUGCCUUGGCAAUGCUAGAAGCCACCUGUUGAGAUGGCAACCUGACAAGAUAGAAGGAAUGCCUCCCAGAGCCUCGUCAACCACACGCUGGACUUUAUGAGAGCAAGAAAUAACCCCUUUUUACCUACACUCCCUGAGAUUUCUGGGUUUUCUUAUGAAUGUAGUAUUACCUGGCACAUGUAUAUAUUUCAAGCCAUCACUGGUUUUGUUUCUUCUGUUUUGACCAUAAAACUCAUGACAACCUCACAUUUUUCAGCCAAGAUUAAAUCUGUUAAAUCUAAUCCAGUAGUGUGCACAUGUGGUUACUUCUUAAAUCAGUUAUUUUCACAUUUUAAUGAAACUAUAAAUAAAACUCCUUAUCAACACUUGCAAUGUCAAUGUCUAUGUCAAAAUGGCCACAGAGUCUGAGCUAUUUCCUAACACAUCCUCCUGCUCAAAGUGGGAAUCUAACAGGAUGAACUUUUCAGUAAUGAGGCCGGACAACCUUGCCACCAGCAGGAGAAGCAGCAAUCAGGCCAGGAGAAAGGCUGCUAACUUCCUUGCUGAAGUGUUGAUUAGCCUUCCUGUGACUAGCCUACCAGUGGGGGGAUUCUUAACUGUCCUCAUCUGAACAUCCGACAGGUGAAUCUUUCCUGCCAAAACACACACACACACACACACCCCAAACUGCAACACUAACAUUUCCAAAAGCAGCUGUGUCCAUCAUCAGUGUUCCCCAGGUUAUGACAUGAGAAGGUGAUAUUCAAGAAGUACUAAGUAUAAAUUCUAAAUUACAGAAUUUUUUUUUGGUCAAUUCCAAUCUGUUUAAGUUUAUUUCUUUGAGAGAGUACACAGACCUAGAAUUCUAGCAUCAAUAGGAUGUCUAUGACUUUCAGGAAAAAAAGACACAGGAAAAAAAAAUUGUCUUUUAAUCUCUAGCACCAGCUGGGCAGUCCCUAGACGUAAGCAGACAAGACAAUAUGCUCCUCCUCACUGGGGUGACUUUGAGAAACACGGGAACUAGGUUUAGAAGCAAAACAAGCUCAGAAAGAACUGAGGUCAAAAACAAACAAAAUGCAUAAUUUGUACAAUUGCCUAAAAAGCCAUGAAGUUACCUAGCUAUGUUUUCGAAGGACUAAUAUUACCCAAAAUGAUAAUAAUCCUCACUUGACUAAAUAUUUUUCAAAAUACUGUAUAACAUUUUAUUUUUCAUGGUAUAAACCAACCCCAGAUACAAAUGAUUCACAUUAUCCAAAUGCCUUGAAUUCCUCUCAUUUCUCUUCAUCCCAUUAAUUCCCACUCCUUCUCCCCCACCAUUCCCACAAUUUCCUUCUCAGACUUUGAUACAAUGAUAUAAUCUGGAGGUAAAGGUACAGAUUACCACACAAUCACUGUUACCUCUCUUCUAAGAAUGUUUUUUUACAUUUGCUUUCAGUUUAUAAACAGAAAUACAACUACAGAUUUCAUAUAUAAUCCUUAUUUAUUAUUUAUAACUAUCUAGAUAUACAAACAGAUGUACAUUGACUGGUUUAACUAUUUGCCCCCAGUCUUUUUCAUACCUUGGAUUUCCUACUCUGAUCACUCAUUACACCAUCUACCAUCUGCCGGUCACCCGGAACAUGUUCUUUUUUUGAAGAGACAAAUAAGCAAAACUUUGCCCAAGAGAAGUGCUACCAUAGAAAUUUUUUGAAAUUUUUCCUAUCAGAGAAUAUAACUUGUUUUCACUCAUGGCUGGGUAUAAAAUUUCUGAAUCACAGCCUUUUAUGAGCAAAACUCUACCAAUAUUGCUUUGGUACAGCUAGUAGAGUGGUGUGUGAUUCUAGAUGAUUUUAUCUUUCUUCUUUUGGCAUUUUGGGUAUUACCUAUUUGUUCUUCACUAAACACAUGUUGUUGUAAUAAGAAAAAAUUAAAACAAAUAAUGUCAAGAGAUUUGUGAUGAGUGCUGAUUAUUACAUUCCCAAAUUCUGCUGGGUAUUGAAAGGCCUGCCAAGAAUUGCUGUUGUCAAGGGGAGAAGCCAGCAGUAAGUCACAUAUAGGUACUAGCGAUACAAAUGAAUGCUAUUACUGCACAAUAAUUUUACAAUUCACACAAAAAUAACACUGGGAUUUAAUAUCAUUAUUUAGAAGGAAAAAACUGCGCACCUAGAACACCUAAUGAGAUGAAAGCAUCAGAGAUCCUCAAACUUCUCCAGAGCUUCCUCACAAGACUCUGAAAUCUGAAGGCCACAGGGUCUUGCAACAACUAAGCUCUAAUUCUACACCAUCAUACCACCUCUUUAUUCAGAAAGACAAAAACCACCCACCUCCCAAAAAAAGACAUGUCAAAACUGAUUAUACUUUGGACGAGGUCAGAUGCCGAAGGACAAGACCACAGUUAUUAAAAACACAUGGUCCAGGUUCGGAUGACCUGGGUUCAAGCCUGACUCUACCAUGUGUGGGUGACCCUGAACAAAUCAACUCCUAUGUGUUCCUGUUUCCUCACCUGCAAAAUCAAGAUGAGAAUAGUACCUCUCUCGUGGGACUGCUGUACAAAUUGAGUUAAAGUGAAACACAGUACCUGGCAUGCAGGAAGUGUGAACCAAGUGUUUAAAAUGAACAGAGGAGCCACAUAAGAUAAGAGUUACAGGCAGACCUCCACUAUUUGACCUGUCUCCCAGGAACAUCUAUAACCAUGGAGGAGAGCACAGCAUGUGGUCUUCCUGCCAUCCCAAACCAGUUAGACAGGCUGAGGAUGGACACUGGGGAUUGGUUCAAGCCAUGGCACUUACUGGUGCCAGAAGUACAGCCACUCUUCCAAGCCACUGUGCUAUUGCCUACACUCAGCCUCCAAGCUGCCCUGCCACUGAGUCUGGUCAUUCUGUGAUGGCACCACUGUGGAUCUUGUCAAACACCAAGUGAAGCUGCCCUUGGUUUCCAAAGUAAAUAGAGAGACAGUCCUUAAAACAUCCCUCUACCGGGGGUUCCCGUCGUAGCACAGCAGAAACGAAUCCAACUAUUAUCCAUGAGGAUUCGGGUUUGAUCCUUAGUCUUCCUCAGUGGGUUAAGGAUCCGGCACUGCCUUGAGCUGUGGUGUAGGUCACAAACAUGGCUUGGAUCCCGUGUUGCUGUGGUGUAGG
RNAcentral lists this long non-coding RNA (7153 nucleotides) under Sus scrofa (pig). RNAcentral describes it as "lncRNA (ENSSSCG00000057791.1)". The record is from RNAcentral. Lineage: Eukaryota; Metazoa; Chordata; Mammalia; Artiodactyla; Suidae.